GGAGGAAAAGAAACUAACAAGGAUUCCCCUAGUAACGGCGAGUGAAGCGGGAAGAGCUCAAAUUUGAAAUCUAGUAGCCUUCGGCUGCUCGAGUUGUAAUCUAGAGAAGUGUUUUCCGUGCCGGCCCAUGUACAAGUCCCUUGGAACAGGGCGUCAUAGAGGGUGAGAAUCCCGUCCUUGACAUGGACCCCCGGUGCUCUGUGAUACACUUUCAACGAGUCGAGUUGUUUGGGAAUGCAGCUCAAAAUGGGUGGUGAAUUCCAUCUAAAGCUAAAUAUUGGCGAGAGACCGAUAGCGAACAAGUACCGUGAGGGAAAGAUGAAAAGCACUUUGGAAAGAGAGUUAAACAGUACGUGAAAUUGUUGAAAGGGAAACGAUUGAAGUCAGUCAUGCUCUUUGGUAUUUAUAUCAUUGAGUGGGGUCAACAUCAGUUUUGAUCGAUGGAUAAAGGCACUAGGAAGGUAGCACUCUCGGGUGAACUUAUAGCCUGGCGUCAUAUACAUUGAUUGGGACUGAGGAACGCAGCAUGCCUUUAUGGCCGGGAUUCGUCCACGUACAUGCUUAGGAUGUUGACAUAAUGGCUUUAAACGACCCGUCUUG
RNAcentral lists this ribosomal RNA (600 nucleotides) under Naganishia liquefaciens. RNAcentral's name for it is "eukaryotic LSU rRNA". It matches the Rfam family "Eukaryotic large subunit ribosomal RNA", at positions 52 to 656 of the family's 3401-position model. Lineage: Eukaryota; Fungi; Basidiomycota; Tremellomycetes; Filobasidiales; Filobasidiaceae. The record is from RNAcentral.